Molecule: long non-coding RNA, 292 nt
Filed under: Ursus maritimus (polar bear)
Lineage: Eukaryota; Metazoa; Chordata; Mammalia; Carnivora; Ursidae
Description: lncRNA (ENSUMAG00000011004.1)
Source: RNAcentral
CGGGGUGCGCUAUGAGUACACCAUCCACAGGGAGGCAGAUGGCCACGGCCAGGUCGAGCCGCCCGAGUUCUCCUGGCGCUAUGGGCCCUGGACCAAGUGCACGGUCACCUGUGGCACAGGGUUGCAGAGGCAAAGCGUGUACUGCACUGAGCGACAGGCGGGGCCAGUGGACGAGAGACACUGCGNNNNNNNNNNNUGACCGCCAGAGGAAGUGCAGCGAGGAGCCCUGCCCGGCCCGGUGGUGGGCAGGGGAGUGGCAGCCGUGCUCCAGCUCCUGUGGGCCUGGGGGCCU